AUACUUACCUGGCAGGGGAGAUACCAUGAUCACGAAGGUGGUUUUCCCAGGGCAAGGCUUAUCCAUUGCACUCCGGAUGUGCUGACCCCUGCAAUUUCCCCAAAUGUGAGAAACUCGACUGCAUAAUUUGUGGUAGUGGGGGACUGAGUUCGCGCUUUCCCCUA
This 164-nucleotide small nuclear RNA is filed under the name Panthera leo (lion). Its description in RNAcentral is "U1 spliceosomal RNA (ENSPLOG00000000774.1)". It matches the Rfam family "U1 spliceosomal RNA". Rfam says of the family: U1 is a small nuclear RNA (snRNA) component of the spliceosome (involved in pre-mRNA splicing). Its 5' end forms complementary base pairs with the 5' splice junction, thus defining the 5' donor site of an intron. The record is from Rfam by way of RNAcentral. Lineage: Eukaryota; Metazoa; Chordata; Mammalia; Carnivora; Felidae.